AAUCAGCAGCACAACACCAACAAGCCCAAAACAAACUAUGGAUGCGCCCAUUUGGAAAGAGUGGGGGUAUAGGCCCGGUUUGAGGGUGUGUACCAGUAACAUCGGAUUUGGGCCUUGUCAAGGGUCCCCUAUUCAUCUAAGCCAUGGAAAUAGGGGGGUGAAAGGUAAACCCGAGGGUUUGAAUGGUAAAUGCAUGGGCCUAAGAGGAAUUGGCAGGCCCAAACGUGAGGUUAGGCGUGUUGAAGAGAGGAGAAGCGAAAACGGAAUCAGAGUGAAUAAGCUUGAAGAAUCGAAAAUGGAAUCCGAGUGUUGAAGAAGAGAAACAAAAAUGGAAUCAGGGCUUCGUGUUUUUUUUUUGCAGCUAAGUUGUGUUUCAGCUUUUUCUUGUCGUUUUGGAACUUUUGGUUACCAUUGCUGUUUUGGUGCGUAGGGAGUAGCUUAUGGUCGUUUUGGAAAUUGUUGGCUUUAUGCUGCGUUUUGGUUCCUCAUUUUUCGUUUAUGCGAUUGGUAUUUGCGUUCAAUUCAUUGCAUUUUGUUGCUACUGUUAUGUUGUUCAGAUUUGUUGUGCGCUUUGUACCUUAAUCACCCGCGUUUUACUGCGUCAUGGUUGCAGCUUGUGGAAAA
Long non-coding RNA from Lathyrus oleraceus (garden pea), 624 nucleotides. RefSeq lists it as uncharacterized. NCBI's taxonomy places the organism in Eukaryota, Viridiplantae, Streptophyta, Magnoliopsida, Fabales, Fabaceae. The record is from RefSeq and is a predicted model, not a curated record. The transcript is spliced from 2 exons.